GUGGGGAAUAUUGGACAAUGGGCGCAAGCCUGAUCCAGCCAUGCCGCGUGAGUGAAGAAGGCCUUAGGGUUGUAAAACUCUUUCACCAGGGACGAUGAUGACGGUACCUGGAGAAGAAGCCCCGGCUAACUCCGUGCCAGCAGCCGCGGUAAUACGGAGGGGGCUAGCGUUGUUCGGAAUUACUGGGCGUAAAGCGCGCGUAGGCGGUUUAUCCAGUCAGGCGUGAAAGCCCUGGGCUCAACCCAGGAACUGCGUUUGAUACUGAUUGACUAGAGGCCGGGAGAGGGUAGUGGAAUUCCCAGUGUAGAGGUGAAAUUCGUAGAUAUUGGGAAGAACACCGGUGGCGAAGGCGGCUACCUGGACCGGACCUGACGCUGAGGUGCGAAAGCGUGGGGAGCAAACAGGAUUAGAAACCCCAGUAGUCC
This 425-nucleotide ribosomal RNA is filed under the name uncultured bacterium. RNAcentral describes it as "bacterial SSU rRNA". It matches the Rfam family "Bacterial small subunit ribosomal RNA", at positions 354 to 796 of the family's 1533-position model. The record is from RNAcentral.